AGAGCUCAACCCGGAAGUCUCACGAGGUAGACGGGUGGUCUGGCAACCCACGUGGGUUGGGCUUCGGACAGUGUUGCGAGUCGGCCCACGGAAUCCGAGCGCCAUGGGGAAGCUGCGCCGGCGGUACAACAUCAAGGGGCGCCAGCAGGCGGGCCCUGGCCCCUCGAAGGGACCCCCCGAGCCGCCUCCAGUGCAGCUGGAACUCGAGGAUAAGGGGACGUUGAAAGGCAUUGAUGCAAGCAAUGCACUCGUUCUUCUGGGGAAGAAGAAGAAGAAAACCAAAGCCCCUCCCCUAUCGAAGAAGGAGAAGAAACCUCUGACCAAGAAAGAGAAGAAAAUGCUGCAGAAAAUCUUAGAACAGAAGGAAAAAAAGAGCCAGCGAGCAGAGAUGCUGAAGAAAUUGAGUGACGUCCAGGUUUCGGACGCCGAGAUGAAGCUCUUUUAUACCACAUCCAAGCUGGGCAUGGGAGACCGCAUGUACCACACCAAAGAGAAACCUGAUGAGGUAGCCCCCCAGGGCCCAGAGAAGAUCAACAGCCUCAGUGGGGCCCACCGGAAGCGCCGCCGCCGGCAGUCAGAAGAGGAGUCUGAGUCCUCCGAGGCGUCUGAGGCUGAUGAGGCUCUGGCUGCUGGGCAGGUGGAGGCUGGUGCAGGAACAGCCGCAGUGUGUCUGCCACCAGCCCCUCCAGAGGCCCGGGGCCAGAGCCCAGUGCCCAGCUGUCAGCCCACUUCAGCUGGGACUCCCGCCAAGGCUCCUGCCCCUCCAGCAGCUGCCCCGACCCCAGCCAGGCCCCUGGCGAAGCCCGCCGUCUUCGUCCCUGUGAACCGCACCCCUGAGAUGCAGGAAGAGCGGCUGAAGCUCCCAAUUCUCGCCGAGGAGCAAGUGAUCAUGGAGGCUGUGGCUGAGAACCCCAUCAUCAUCGUGUGCGGCGAGACCGGCAGCGGCAAGACCACGCAGGUGCCCCAGUUCCUCUACGAAGCUGGCUACAGCAGUGACGACAGCAUCAUCGGGGUCACAGAGCCACGCCGAGUGGCCGCCAUCACCAUGUCCCAGCGAGUGGCCAAGGAGAUGAACUUGUCACAACGAGUCGUCUCCUACCAGAUCCGGUACGAAGGCAACGUGACUGAAGAGACGAGAAUCAAGUUCAUGACGGAUGGUGUGCUGCUUAAAGAAAUCCAGAAGGACUUCUUGCUGCGGAAAUACAAGGUGGUGAUCAUCGAUGAGGCCCACGAGAGGAGCGUGUACACCGACAUCCUCAUUGGCCUCCUGUCCCGCAUCGUGACCCUCCGGGCAAAGAAGCACCUGCCACUGAAGCUGCUCAUCAUGUCGGCCACGCUGCGGGUGGAGGACUUCACCCAGAACCAGCGGCUCUUCGCCAAGCCGCCCCCGGUCAUCAAGGUUGAAUCCAGGCAGUUCCCGGUGACAGUGCAUUUUAACAAGCGGACGCCACUGGAAGACUACACCAGUGAGUGCUUCCGGAAGGUCUGCAAGAUCCACCGGAUGCUGCCUGCAGGUGGCAUCCUGGUGUUCUUAACGGGCCAGGCAGAGGUGCAUGCACUGUGCCACAGACUCAGGAAGACCUUCCCCCGCACCAGACGUGGACCGCAAGAAAAGGAAGAACAGAAAGAUUCGGUGGAAGAAAUGCGGAAGUUUAAGAAGUCACGGGCGAGGGCGAAGAAGGCUCAGGCCGUGGCGUUGCCCCAGAUUAACUUGGAUCACUACUCAGUGUUGCCAGCGGGUGAAGGUGAUGAGGACAGGGAGGCAGAGAUGGACGAUGAUGAGGAGGCCCUGGGCUCCGACCUGGAUCUGGACUUGGGGGACGAGGGGACAGAUGAAGGUGAGCAGCCGGACGCCUCCCUCCCGCUCCACGUGCUCCCGCUGUACUCUCUGCUGGCCCCUGAGAAACAAGCACAGGUCUUCACACCACCCCCAGAGGGGACACGGCUGUGUGUUGUGGCCACCAAUGUGGCCGAGACAUCCCUUACCAUCCCCGGCAUCAAGUACGUGGUGGACUGCGGGAAGGUCAAGAAGCGUUACUAUGACCGUGUCACCAGCGUGUCCUCCUUCCGCGUCACAUGGGUCUCCCAGGCAUCGGCUGAUCAGCGGGCAGGCCGGGCCGGGCGAACAGAGCCUGGCCACUGCUACAGGUUGUAUUCCUCCGCUGUUUUCGGUGACUUUGAGCAGUUCCCUCCUCCUGAAAUCACCCGGAGGCCCGUUGAAGACUUGAUCCUUCAGAUGAAAGCUCUCAACAUUGAGAAGGUCAUCAACUUCCCCUUCCCGACCCCUCCCUCUGUAGAGGCCCUCAUUGCCGCUGAGGAGCUGCUGAUCUCACUGGGGGCCCUGCAGACGCCCCCGAAAACAGAGAGGGUGAAGCAGCUGCAGAGGUCCCGGGUGAGCUGCCCCAUCACCCUGCUGGGCAGGACCAUGGCCACGUUUCCUGUGGCACCCCGCUAUGCUAAGAUGCUGGCGCUGAGCCAGCAGCACGGCUGCCUGCCCUAUGCCAUCGCUAUUGUGGCCGCCAUGACGGUGCGCGAGCUGUUCGAGGAGCUGGACAGACCAGCCUCCAGCGACGAGGAGCUCGCAACACUGAGGGGCAAGCGGGCCCGUGUGGCCCAGAUGAGGAGGACCUGGGCGGGGCAGGGGGCCUCUCUGCUGUUGGGAGACCUCAUGGUGCUCCUGGCUGCCGUGGGAGCCUGGGAGUUCGCUGGUGGCUCACCCCAGUUCUGUGAAGCCAACGGGCUACGGUAUAAGGCCAUGAUGGAGAUCCGGCGCCUUCGAGGCCAGCUGACCACCGCAGUCAAUGCCGUGUGCCCGGAGGCCCAGCUCUUCAUGGACCCCAAGAUGCAGCCACCCUCUGAGAGCCAGGUAACCUACCUGCGACAGAUUGUGACAGCCGGCCUGGGUGACCACCUGGCACGCAGGGUCCAGAGCGAGGAGCUGCUGGAUGACAAGUGGAGGAAUGCCUAUAAGACCCCCCUCCUCGACGACCCUGUCUUCAUCCACCCCAGUUCUGUCCUCUUCAGAGAGCUCCCCGAGUUUGUGGUCUACCAGGAAAUCGUGGAAACCACCAAGAUGUACAUGAAAGGUGUCUCGGCCGUGGAGGUGCAGUGGAUCCCCGUACUCCUGCCUCCCUACUGCCAGUUCGGGCCACCUGCAGAGGAGCCGCCCCCCGCGUUCUGCCCUGAGAUGGGGCGCGUGCUGUGCCACCGUGGCAGCGUGUUCUAUCGGGUUGGCUGGCCGCUCCCCAAGGUCCAGGUGGACUUUCCUGAGGGCAUCGACCGCUACAAACACUUUGCCCGGUUUCUACUGGAAGGGCAGGUCUUCUGCAAGCUGGCCUCGUACCACGGCUGUCUGCUGUCCCGCCCCAGCACGAUGCUAAAAACAUGGGCCAGUGAUGGCCCAUACCCUGCUCCCCGCUUGGCAGGCUGCAGCCCAGGACAGAGAGUCUCCUGAAAGCUCUGGUUGCCGAGAAAGCAGACUGCCGCGACGCCUUGCUGGCAGCUUGGAAGAAAAACCCCAAAUACCUGCUGGCUGAGUACUGCGAGUGGCUCCCUCAGGCCAUGCACCCCGACGUAGAGAAAGCCUGGCCUCCCACCUCUGACCGCUGAUCGGCACCUGGCUGUGGACCGAGGACUGGUCAGGAGACCAGAGGGCUGGCAGGAGGCAGUGUCCAGUAUGGUGACUCCAGCCCCCAGCCUGCUCCCAGGAGGCAGGUCAGGCCACUGGAGAUGCUUGUUCAUCUCAGCCGGUUUCUGGACAAAGCCUGCUGUGUCCAGGCAGACUGCCCCAACUGGGACAUCUUUGUAACUGUUUGUUAUGCAAUGAGCCGUUUUAUCUCACCUGCUGGUUACCGUGUUUAAAUGCUCUCAGACCACAUUAGUCACAGGGCUGGAAGUUCAGAAGCAGCAGAGUGUCUGUCCCUUGUCCAGAGGUGCUGUUCACGGCAUCCUGGCUGCGUUUCUUCCCUGAAGGUGGGGCCACCGUCCCCACAGUGGGGAGGGGGGGGGUCACCCCAGUGCCUGGCACUGGCCUGAGGCAAGUGGAUAGCUCUGUUCUGACCUUGGGGACCUGGCCAAGGGCCUCCCCCAGUCUCCACACCCUUCUGUGAAAACAGCCAAGUGGCCACUGGACCUUUCCUGUGCUGUGGCCACAAGGACUGGGGCAUCUGUCCUCCCUGACCAGAUGGCCAGCUCCUCACGUGGUACGUCCGUGUUCACUUCUUCCUGAUGCAGUACAUCCUUGUUCACUUCGGCCAUGUGCCAAGGGCAGGGCUUGUACCGGGUAGGUGCCCACGCAUGGCAGCUGCUCUGUGGGCCUAAAGAAAGGCUCCCGCCCGAGCUUCCUUCCCUGGUGGCAGAGAAGGAAGGUGGAGGGCAGAGGAGGUCCCUGGGGGAGAAUGAGGAAUAAGAAGGCCCCAGUCCUCCGUGGUGAGAGCCUGGCUGGCCCACCCAGAAUGCAGCUCCUACCCAGGAUGGGCCCAGCGCCAGGUCAGCAUCUCACCAUAGGUGCGGAGCUUUGGUGAAGAAAGAAUUAUGACAUGACAAUGUUCCUUCCACCCAGAUGGUUUUGUCCAGCAGACUCAGAAAAAACCCAGGUGGACACUUUGCCAUCUCCCUGAGCUCAACUUGUCUGCCAGCCUGGCAGCCUCACAACACUUGCUGUCGGGGCUUCUUACGUCCUAGGUGGCUCCCAGAGUCCUUGGCAGGGUCUCUCUUCCCCUCCUGCCCUUAGACAAGGUGCUCAGGUCUCAUUCCCCCCACAACCCAGGCCUUCUCACACCACAUCCCUCCCUGGAGCUCAGCUACUGCUACCUCAGAGGCGGUGCCCACAGCCCAGGGCAGCCUGCAGGCUCAUUUUGUUUCACUCACACCGUGAUUGAGGAAAGCUUUAAUUCCUUGCUAACAUCCAGAAUUGGGUUAUUUCCCACUCAAAAAUCCUGAUCGCCAGCUUUUCUAGAAAAUUCCAACCACGCACUAAAGUAUAUGUGGAAGCCAUUCUCUCAACCACCUUCUCUCUUGGGUACCGAAGCAGCCUCCUAGCUGACUUCCCUGCCCUGCUUCUCCUGUCCUUCACUCAGCCGCCACGGCAAAGGAAGAAAAUAUGAUCAGGGAACUAUUUUUUUAUUAAGAGAUUUUUUGGAGUCUUUGGAGUUGUGUAAACAUCAUCACUAUUUAAUUCCAGAAUGUUUUCAUCAUUCCCCAAAAGAAAACCUGUGCCCAUUAGCAGUCACCCCCUUAUUUUUCCCCAGCCCUAGGCAACUACUAACCUAUGUUCUGUUGCUAUGGAUUUGCCUAUUGUGAAUAUUUCAAAUAAAUGGGAUCAUGCAGUAUGUGGUCUUUUGUGUGUGUUUUU
Loxodonta africana (African savanna elephant) is the source of this 5353-nucleotide RNA transcript. It is a transcript of the gene named DEAH-box helicase 37, with no coding region annotated. Lineage: Eukaryota; Metazoa; Chordata; Mammalia; Proboscidea; Elephantidae. The transcript has 27 exons. The record is from RefSeq and is a predicted model, not a curated record.